Molecule: ribosomal RNA, 1041 nt
Filed under: Staphylococcus aureus
Lineage: Bacteria; Bacillati; Bacillota; Bacilli; Caryophanales; Staphylococcaceae
Description: partial 23S ribosomal RNA
Rfam family: Bacterial large subunit ribosomal RNA
Source: RNAcentral
GUGAAAUUCCGUCGGAAUCUGGGAGGACCAUCUCCUAAGGCUAAAUACUCUCUAGUGACCGAUAGUGAACCAGUACCGUGAGGGAAAGGUGAAAAGCACCCCGGAAGGGGAGUGAAAUAGAACCUGAAACCGUGUGCUUACAAGUAGUCAGAGCCCGUUAAUGGGUGAUGGCGUGCCUUUUGUAGAAUGAACCGGCGAGUUACGAUUUGAUGCAAGGUUAAGCAGUAAAUGUGGAGCCGUAGCGAAAGCGAGUCUGAAUAGGGCGUUUAGUAUUUGGUCGUAGACCCGAAACCAGGUGAUCUACCCUUGGUCAGGUUGAAGUUCAGGUAACACUGAAUGGAGGACCGAACCGACUUACGUUGAAAAGUGAGCGGAUGAACUGAGGGUAGCGGAGAAAUUCCAAUCGAACCUGGAGAUAGCUGGUUCUCUCCGAAAUAGCUUUAGGGCUAGCCUCAAGUGAUGAUUAUUGGAGGUAGAGCACUGUUUGGACGAGGGGCCCCUCUCGGGUUACCGAAUUCAGACAAACUCCGAAUGCCAAUUAAUUUAACUUGGGAGUCAGAACAUGGGUGAUAAGGUCCGUGUUCGAAAGGGAAACAGCCCAGACCACCAGCUAAGGUCCCAAAAUAUAUGUUAAGUGGAAAAGGAUGUGGCGUUGCCCAGACAACUAGGAUGUUGGCUUAGAAGCAGCCAUCAUUUAAAGAGUGCGUAAUAGCUCACUAGUCGAGUGACACUGCGCCGAAAAUGUACCGGGGCUAAACAUAUUACCGAAGCUGUGGAUUGUCCUUUGGACAAUGGUAGGAGAGCGUUCUAAGGGCGUUGAAGCAUGAUCGUAAGGACAUGUGGAGCGCUUAGAAGUGAGAAUGCCGGUGUGAGUAGCGAAAGACGGGUGAGAAUCCCGUCCACCGAUUGACUAAGGUUUCCAGAGGAAGGCUCGUCCGCUCUGGGUUAGUCGGGUCCUAAGCUGAGGCCGACAGGCGUAGGCGAUGGAUAACAGGUUGAUAUUCCUGUACCACCUAUAAUCGUUUUAAUCGAUGGGGGGAC